GCCACCUUAGCUCAGUUGGUAGAGCUACUGAUUUGUAAUCAGUAGGUCGACGGUUCGAGUCCGUCAGGUGGCUCCA
Molecule: transfer RNA, 76 nt
Filed under: bacterium
Lineage: Bacteria
Also listed under: 3 other names
Description: tRNA-Thr
Rfam family: tRNA
About the family: Transfer RNA (tRNA) molecules are approximately 80 nucleotides in length. Their secondary structure includes four short double-helical elements and three loops (D, anti-codon, and T loops).
Source: RNAcentral